GUCGAAUCUUGCACAUUCUCUCUACUUCCCUUGCUUUAGCGAGAAAAAAAAGAGAAUUUACUCGGCUUCCACUACGUAAUGGACACCUUGAAAAGAGCAGCCCUGUUGUGCAUGAUCGUGGCUCUAGUAUUGGGCCUUUGCUUGAGCAUGGUAGAAGCAAAGAGAGGGCAGCUCAACUUAUGUGCAGGAUUCGACCCUCCAGGAGGAUGCCCUAUCAGGUGCAUUCGCUAUGAUCCAGUAUGUGGUGCUAACGGGGUGACCUAUGGGUGCGGCUGUCCCGACGCUGCCUGCGCCGGCGUUCGAGUUGUUAAGUUAGGGGCUUGUUAGGUCCCAUCUCCCUGCUGGUGCGACAACACUUGUUUUGGUUUUUAUCUGGAUAUAUUAACCAAAAUAAUUAUUUAUAUGUUAAUAUAUGACAUAAGAUGUACAUAUCCAGAUAAAAAC
This 444-nucleotide unclassified non-coding RNA is filed under the name Hevea brasiliensis (rubber tree). The record is from RNAcentral. Lineage: Eukaryota; Viridiplantae; Streptophyta; Magnoliopsida; Malpighiales; Euphorbiaceae.